This 29-nucleotide non-coding RNA is filed under the name Mus musculus (house mouse). The record is from RNAcentral. Lineage: Eukaryota; Metazoa; Chordata; Mammalia; Rodentia; Muridae.
UGCCAAGCCCUAGGAAAGCGCCUAGAGGU